Molecule: ribosomal RNA, 253 nt
Filed under: uncultured bacterium
Lineage: Bacteria
Description: partial 16S ribosomal RNA
Rfam family: Bacterial small subunit ribosomal RNA
Source: RNAcentral
UACAGAGGGGGCAAGCGUUGUUCGGAAUUACUGGGCGUAAAGGGCGCGUAGGCGGCCUUCUAAGUCGAACGUGAAAUCCCCGGGCUCAACCCGGGAACUGCGUCCGAUACUGGAAGGCUUGAAUCCGGGAGAGGGAUGCGGAAUUCCAGGUGUAGCGGUGAAAUGCGUAGAGAUCGGGCAGAACACCCGUGGCGAAGGCGGCCGGCUGGGCCGAUCCUGACGCUGAGGCGCGACAGCGUGGGGAGCAAACAGG